AAAAUCCCUGAGGGUACCUGUCUCGUGGGGAUUUAUGUCAUUCCUACGUAUCUCUUUCAACGUCCAAUUUCCCUUGUUAGUUGCUGCCGUUACUGCAUCAAUCUCUUGUUCACUCAUCAUUAGUCGCGCAAGCUACUUUAUCGAAUCCUCUAGAUCUAGAUCUAGAUCCAUCCUUUUAAGCUUUGACCCGUAGUUAUUGAUCACUAACUCAAUCCCGCUAUUCACGACGGCGACCUGAGGUAAAAAAGCUAAUGUCACUGCCACUGCCGUCACCAUCGUUCCAACUGCCACCAACCCUUAGUCACCAAACCACUGACCCAACACUUGAGAGCCAUAAACAAAAAUACCCUCUCCGGCUGGUGUGUUUUUUAUUUGGCUUUUUUCUUUUGCUUUUAUUUUUUUAGUUUUUAUUUUUAUUUUUUUAAUGGUGGUUGGUUUUAUUAUUGACUGUUGGGUGUAGUCUAUCUGCUCCUCUUGAUAUCUUGUAUGGUUGUUGAUGAUGUCAACUUAGAGUUCAGUUCAAAAUUGUGUCAAUGUUCAAAUCGGGAGGAUAUGCCUGUAUUGGAGUUGAUAAAGGGCUCUAAUAGUUGUGCAUUUAUAUUCUGAUGACUUGGUGCAAGUUACCGAUGGCUUGGGUUGAGGGCUCAUUGAGAGGGGAUACUUUAGAUAGUUUGAUUAUAUUGUUGAGUUUUUGUGAUUUUUGGUGUGCUUGUAGUUAGUAGUUAGUAUUAUGUUAUGGCGCUCUAUGUUAAUUUUGUAGGAUUAUUUUCCUUCUCUAAUUAGAAAAGGAUCUCAUCUACAUUAGUUGAGGUUGGCAACAGUUCGUAAAAUUUCUUUUCAUUGUAAGUAGGUUUAAUAGAUGAAAUUCUUUUUUUCUUUAGGUUUGUAAUUAUAUUUGGUUUUAGGAAUUAUUCGAUCCUAGGCUUAAAUUAUAGGUCUUAUCCUAUUUAUUAUAUUUAAGCUUAGUGAUCGUGUAUUUAUGUCUCUAUGACAUUUUAUAGUUGGACUAGUUUUCAUCGUUAAUGAAAGAUAUAUUUUCUUUUUAAACAAAAAAAUACAACAAUUUAUUUUAGUUCUCAUUUCUCAUUUCUCAUCUAAUUCAAGUUCAUUCUAAUUCUAUCCUAUUCCAAUUAUUAAUUGAUAAAUAUAUCAUGAGUAACUAAUGUUGAGUAAAUCCUCUCAUUUUCAUUCAUUUUUUUUAUCUUUUUUUUAAAAUGAGGUGUUAUUUAGGGAAAAAGAUUUAAAAAAAAUUGAGAUGUUGGAUGAUGUCGAAGUAAUUAAUGGUGCUAGAGGAUGAAGUCAAUUAAUGAGUUGUGCCUUUAUUGAUGAAUGGGGCCGUUGAUUGAAGUAGGAGUUUAGGUCAAGGAUUAAGGCCAGUAGGUUUCAACCUGACGUAUCACCAUGCCAAACACUUCAGAUUAACAUUUAGGGACAACAUUUUGAUUCUUUCCAUUUUGUUUUCACAUUGGCGCUACACUGAAUAAUGUUGUAGGCUACUUCUUUGUUGCUUCUAUUGAUAGCAUAUAAUCUCUCUAAUCGCGUCACACAUUGUGCUUAUAAGCAUUUUGACACUUUUUUUUUAUUUUUUUAAACAUAAACUGAUUUUUUUUCUUAACACUUAUAGUACACUCCACCGAUCAUAUAGGGAGAAAUAUAUCCUUAUUUAGGGAUCAAGGCAUUUUGUUGAAGAUGAAAGUACAUUGAAUUCAUAUGAAGUUUUAUCAUGACUAGAUUGCAUCCAUUGGGCAAAUAUUGUUAACAUAUAUGUUUCCAUAAUAUUGAUUUUGAUGAUAACAAACAAGAUUAAGAAUGAUUAAGUUUUUAAAAGCUCAAAUUAUUUUAAAUAAAUCAUUAUUUUUACACUAUAAAGAAUUUAUAUUUAAUGGAAAAAUGUAUUUAUGAAAUUGGUUGUUUUUCAAGUUUAUGAUUUAAUUGAAAGAGUUUUGAAAACUUUGAAAUCAACAAGUAUUGCUUGAAAUUUUGGAGAAUGAUUUAUUUGAAAAGUGUCAUAGCAUUUUGGGCUAUAUCAUAAUUUCAUAAAGUUGUGAGAUUAACAAAGCAUUAUUUAGAAAUUCUGAAAUUGGACCUUUUUGUAAACUUUCAUAACGUUUUGAGUCAUAAUACAGUUUUAUAAAGUUUUGGGGUCAAACUAUAAAUUUGGAAAAUAAUUUCACUGUAGCAAUCACUGUAGCAAACGGCUAACCGAUAAUUUCCAAAAAGCAUGUUCUGCAAAGUAUUGUUAAAAUGAUGAUUCUGGAACAUAACGGUGAACCGUUUACUGAAAACAGUUAACCGAUUAUUUCCAGAUUGCUAACCUUAAACCGUUUAGUAAGAACGGUUAAACCAAAUUUGUUUUGCAGGUCUCUGGAAUUUAACGGCGAAAGGGUAAUCCUAAACGGUAAACCGUUUAUUUGAAAAUUGGCCCAACGGUAACUUUGACCGGCCUAAACGGUUAACCGUUAAUGGUUAACGGUGAACCGUUUUCGAGCAGACAGUCUAUAACGGCUAGUUUUUCAGCUCCAACUAUAAAUAAGCUCAAUCCAAUUCAAACAAUGAGUUUUUUCCAACGAUCAUCAUUGAGCAAAAUAUUGAGAAUACAACUUUCAUUAAGCUUUAAAUCUUUGUAUUCAUCUCAUUCAUUCACACAUUGAGCUUUCACUUGUGAUCAAACACAUUGUGUGAGAGAGAUUCAUUUGUAAUCCUUUUUGUAAAAUCAAGUUAAAAGAUUGUAAGUGUUGGGAUACACUUGGGUUAAGAGAUUGAGGAUAAUCUCUUGUUGUAAAGGUCCAUUGACACCUUGGAAGUUAAUUGUAAGCGUUUGAAGCCUUGGGAGGCUAGCUUAGUGAAAUUCGCAAGCCCGGUGAGCUUGGAGGCGUGGACGUAGGCGGGGAUUGCCGAACCACGUAAAAAUCAUUGUGUUUGUUUUCUCUUCCCUUAUUCUUUUAAUAUUGUGCAUGAUUAAAUUUAUUGUUUUCAAUUUGAUUAAGGCAAUAGAUUAAAUUGUUGUGUGGUUUGCCUAGGAUAAUUUUUAAAAUCCCAAUUCACCUCCCCUCUUGGGUUGCCUAAUUAGUAUUUCAUUUGGUAUCAGAGCGAGGUGCUCUUGUUUAGACUUAACCGUCUAGAGUUAAAGAUCCAUGGCAACCUAUAGUGACUCAACCUUUAGGGAAGGACAAUCCACAAUUAGACCACCGUUCUUUGACGGUAAUGACUACCCAUAUUGGAAAACUAUGAUGAGAAUUUAUUUACAAGCUUUAGAUUAUGAAAUUUGGGAAAUUGUUUGUGAUGGUCCAUUUAUGCCUUUGACUAAAAACGAAGUUGGGGAAGAUAUUCCAAAACCUUCACGGGAAUGGAAUGAAUUGGAAAAGAGAGAAGCUUCUCUAAAUUCCAAAGCCAUGAAUGCCUUAUUUUGUGCACUUGAUAAGAAAGAGUUUCAUAGAGUGUCUAGUUGUGAAAGUGCUAAUGAAAUUUGGCACAAACUUGAAGUUGUUUAUGAAGGCACGAAUCAAGUGAAAGAGUCUAAAAUUAGUAGGUACACUCGACAAUAUGAAUUGUUCCAAAUGGAACAAAAUGAGAGUGUGUAUUCUAUGUAUACUAGAUUUACGGACAUAGUGAACACUCUAGGAGCCCUAGGAAAGACCUUUUCAAAUAGCGAGAAAGUUAAGAAAAUCAUUAGGUCGUUACCUAAGGAAUGGAGACUAAAAAGGACUGCCAUUGAGGAAGCUAAAGAUUUGAAUAUCUUACCUAUUGAUGAUUUAAUUGGUUCUCUUAUUUCUUAUGAGGAAGACAUGGCAGCCGAAAGAAGCAAUGAUGAGAAGAAGAAAAGCAUUGCUCUCAAAGCCUCGAAACAUGAGAGUGAUGAGGAAAGCGAGCUGGAUGAGGAGGAGAUGGAUAUGCUGGCUAGGAGGUUCAGAGAACUUUUUAAGAAAUCCGGUGAGCAAAGAAAAUUUAAAGACUUCAAGAACCGAAAGGAGAAGAAUGAAGUAAUCAAAUGUUAUGAGUGCAAGAAGCCCGGCCAUAUAAGAACGGAAUGCCCUCUUCUCAACAAGCUCAAGAAGAAAACAAUGGUAGCCACAUGGGAUGAUAGCGAUGAGAAAAUAAGUGAUGAUGAAGAGCAUCAAGAAAUGACAAAUCUAGCUCUCAUGGCAAUUGGAGAUUAAUCGGAUGAUGAACUUGAUGAGGUAAAUGAUCUUUUUACUUAUGAUGAAUUAUAUGAUGCUUUUAAAGAAUUACAUGAUAAUUGGAUAAAAAUUGGUAAAAAGAAUGCAUGUCUUAAAAAGAAAAUGGUAAAGCUCACAAAUGAAAAUGAAUCUCUAUGUGCAAAGAUUACAUGCCUAGAAUUAGAGAAUAAAACAUUGCAUGAUAGAGUUGCAUUAUCUAAUGAGAAACCUAGCACUUCACAUGAGCAUCUAGAAUAUCACAUAGAUGACUUGAAAAAGGAAAAUGAAAUGCUUAAAAAUAAGAGCAAUGAGUUAAAUGAGAUUGUUUUAAGAUUUGCAAAUAGACAAAAGAUGUUGGAUAACUUGAUUAAUUCACAAAAAUGUGUGUUUGAUAAAGGAGGACUUGGUUAUAAGCCACAUUUGAAACAAAAGUAUUAUAAGAACUACUUUGUGAAGAGUACAUCUACUAACAAUCAAGUUGUAUGUCAUUGUUGUAAUCAAAACGGUCACAUGAAGCUUGGUUGUCCUAUUAAAAGAAAAGUAUAUUAUGGAGUAAAAUGUGUUUGGGUUCCAAAAGGAACAAUUGCUAACACUCAAGGACCCAAGAGUAUUUGGGUACCAAAGGGCACAACGUGAAUGUUUUCUUUGUAGGUACCACAAUCAAGGAAUGGUGGAGAGUUCCUUGAUGAAAGCUUGUGAGGAUAAUCACUUGAGUAUGAUCUAGGAGAAAAAGAUGAGGCAAGAUGAUUUAAUUGUUUUGGUAACAAUUCUUGCCAUAUUAAUUUUGUUGAAUGAAUCAUGAUAAAUGAAUUUGCGAAAGUAUGAUUGUAUGUUUACAUGAUGGAAUUAUCAUUGUGUAUAACAUUGAGUGAUUUAUCAUGAUGCCUUUGUUUGAUUUUGAUGAUUGUAUGGUCUUUGAUUUCAUCUUCUUAAUUGUCUAUCAUCAUUGUCCAUCUCUUAUAUAUGUGUGAAUUCAUAUGCCAUUAAUUGUGUUAUAUCAUCAUUCAUUUAUAAAAUUGACAUUAUUGUUUGAUACGAUUUCAUAUGUUUGGUCUUGUAUACAUUUAUGUCUCAUGCAUUAAAAUGGCUUAUAAAACAUUUUUGGAUCAAUUAAAUGAUUUUGGAAUGUAUUAUUUGCUGGCCAAAAAUUAAAUUAAAUGUGCGGAAUUAUAGAUGAAGUAAACAGAUAACCGUUUCUCAAUAAACGGUGUACCGUUUAAUUCCAGACACUAGGCUAUGAUGAUUUAAACCUUACUCCCUUACCGUUUUCGGCAAACGGUAAACCGUUUAAAAACAUAAAGCUCACUGGAAUUUACCCCUUUACCGUUAAGGACUAACAUUUCACCGUUUUUCCAUUAAAUGCUCUCUGGAAGUUACUCCCUCACCGUUUACAAAAAAAGGCUCGCCGUUUUCUUGAAAUAUAAAAUUGUUCCAAGGGUUUCUUCUCCUUCUUCAUUUACCCUCUUACCGUUUCUGCCAUUGUUGCACAGUCGAAGCUUUCUCCUUCUUCAAUCCUUCAUUUUUCUUCAUUUUCUUGCCAAAUCACAUCGAUAAAAUCAUUUCUCUUCAUCUUUAGAAAUCCAAACCCUAAGGGCAGCCGAACGGAUUUCCUCCAUGUUGACCGAAAUUUUGCCCUUCCUCAACCAAAUUGAGCCAUAAUUUCACAUCUUCACCACCUACUUAGUUUCUGACUCUUAUAUGCGCACAUACAUUUCAUCUUUUGUUUCCUUGUGUGUUGCUAUUUAUAUUUUUUGGUAUACAUUGCUACUUCUAUAUGAUUUUGAUGACGGAUAUUUUUAUGUGAUGCUUUUGCUGUUGGAUGACUAUUUAUGUGUGAACUGAUGCUUGAUGGCGUUGUUGGUAUAUUUAGCAUAUUUGGAAGUGUUUUGAUCUUAUUUUGUAUUUGAGGAUUUGUUUCAUUUUACGAGGAACCUUUGCCAAAAUUUUUGCUCGCAUAAAAUGAGUAAUAUCUUCAUCGAAUCAUUUCUUUUUUUUAUGAUCUUGUUUCGAUUGCAUCUAUCUAUCUUUUUUUUUUUUUACCAUGAAGGGGAAGAUAAAUGUGAUAUGAUUUCGGAUAAAAUCAUUUUGGUUAAAAUUCUUAAAUUGGCCAUAUAUUUAGGGGGAGCAUAUAAUAUGAUUUUGGAUAAUAUGCAUUUUAAAUUUUUUUGUUGUCCAAAGGGAGAGACAAAGUAAUAUCUCAUUUCGAUAUUGUCAAAAGGAGGAGAAUAAUAUGCAUUUUGAGUAAUUAUUUUGAUAAUUGAUAUGUGAUUAUGGUGAGAACUUGAUGAUUUUGAGAUAUGAUGAUGAUUUGAUUACAUGGGUGUUUUAUAUGAUAAAUUUAUGUUAUGAGUUGUUGACUUGGUAAUUGAUGGAAUAAUGAUUCAUGAUAUUUUUGUGUGAUGAUUUGUGUAUGGAGUUGGCAUGUAUCAUGAUUUAUAAUAAUUUGGGAGUAAUAUUACUAAACUUGUAUUUGAGGUAAUGCUUGUUGAUAGGGGGAGAAAUUUGCUACUCUUUGGGUAACAAAUUUGUUACUCUUUUUCUUUUCCACUAAGUUUUUCUUUUUGAUGAUGAGGGGGAGAAGAAUGCAUGUAUUUAAAUUUGUUAAUUUAGCUAAAUUGUAAGAGAAGCUUACAUUUAGGGAGAGCAAUUUGUGUAAUCAUUUUUUAAAUACAUGAAACGUUUUUCAUCAUCAAAAAGGGGGAGAUUGUUAACAUAUAUGUUUCCAUAAUAUUGAAUUUGAUGAUAACAAACAAGAUUAAGAAUGAUUAAGUUUUUAAAAGCUCAAAUUAUUUUAAAUAAAUCAUUAUUUUUACAUUAUAAAGGUUUUAUAUUUAAUGGAAAAAUGAUUUUAUGAAAUUGGUUGUUUUUCAAGUUUAUGAUUUAAUUGAAAGAGUUUUGAAAACUUUGAAAUCAACAAGUAUUGCUUGAAAUUUUGGAGAAGAACUUAUUUGAAAAGUGUCAUAGCAUUUUGGGCUAUAUCAUAAUUUCAGAAAGUUUUGAGAUUAACAAAGCAUUAUUUAGAAAUUCUGAAAUUGGACCUUUUUGCAAACUUUCAUAACGUUUUGGGCCAUAAUACAGUUUUAUAACGUUUUAGGGUCAAACUAUAAAUUUGGAAAAUAAUUUCACUGUAGCAAUCACUGUAGCAAACGGCUAACCGUUUAUUUAAAACGGCUAACCGAUAAUUUCCAGAAAGCAUGUUCUGCAAAGUAUUGUUAAAAUGAUGAUUCUGGAACAUAACGGUGAACCGUUUACUGAAAACGGUUAACCGAUUAUUUCCAGAUUGCUAACCUUGAACCGUUUAGUAAGAACGGUUAAACCAAAUUUGUUUUGCAGGUCUCUGGAAUUUAACGGCGAAAGGGUAAUCCUAAACGGUAAACCGUUUAUUUGAAAAUUGGCCCAACGGUAACUUUGACCGGCCUAAACGGUUAACCGUUAAUGGUUAACGGCGAACCGUUUUCGAGCAGACAGUCUAUAACUGCUAGUUUUUCAGCUCCAACUAUAAAUAAGCUCAAUCCAAUUCAAACAAGGAGUUUUUUCCAACGAUCAUCAUUGAGCAAAAUAUUGAGAAUACAACUUUCAUUAAGCUUUAAAUCUUUGUAUUCAUCUCAUUCAUUCAUACAUUGAGCUUUCACUUGUGAUCAAACACAUUAUGUGAGAGAGAUUCAUUUGUAAUCCUUUUUGUAAAAUCAAGUUAAAAGAUUGUAAGUGUUGGGAUACACUUGGGUUAAGAGAUUGAGGAUAAUCUCUUGUUGUAAAGGUCCAUUGACACCUUGGAAGUUAAUUGUAAGCGUUUGAAGCCUUGGGAGGCUAGCUUAGUGAAAUUCGCAAGCCCGGUGAGCUUGGAGGCGUGGACGUAGGCGGGGAUUGCCGAACCACGUAAAAAUCAUUGUGUUUGUUUUCUCUUCCCUUAUUCUUUUAAUAUUGUGCAUGAUUAAAUUUAUUGUUUUCAAUUUGAUUAAGGCAAUAGAUUAAAUUGUUGUGUAGUUUGCCUAGGAUAAUUUUUAAAAUCCCAAUUCACCCCCCCUCUUGGGUUGCCUAAUUAGUAUUUCAAAUAUUGGUUCAAUAAAGAUUUGUCUCUCUAGAGUAAAAAUGGAAAAGUUGGGAGGAAAAAUCGAAGACUAGGGAUUUCCAUUGAAAAUAACUAAAAUAGUCAAUCUCUCAAACCAAUGCAACUUGCAACUCAAGUAAUCAAGUGAAGAAACUUUACAUUUGAAGCUCCGGUUACUGAUAAACAAAUAGAUCAGAAGUUAUACCAUAAUUUUUGAUAGCAUACAUCUCUUGUAAUGAGAACAAAAUUGAUUACAAAAGCUUAUUUUGUUUUUAAACAUACGAUAUCCAUGUUAGAUUUCCCAUCUGUGCCUAAAAAACUGAUCAGGAUCAAUGCCUAUGCUUUGUGCCCUAAAAAAGAUCAGGAUCAAUGCCUAUGUUUUGUUUAUAACAUCAAAACUUUAUCCUCAAAUGGCCUAAAAAAGUCCUGAAUUGCAGCACUUUGACUUAAUCCCUUUUAUAUUUACAGCUCAGGAACUUCUAGUUAAUAAUACAUGCUGCUCAUUUUCUAGAUUAACUCUCUUCUUCGUAUUUAAUAGCACUAAAAGCAUUACUUAAAUGACAUAAAAGUUGUAGAAAUCUGAAUCAUCUCCAGAAAGAGUGCUUUCCCUUCCUUUCCUUUUUAACUUUUCUCUCUUCCUCUCUGCCCUUCUUCGUUUUGAAAUCACUGCGUAAUAGGUCAAAAAACUAAGAAUUCCCACCAUUGUUACUCCUCCUACAGCUGUAAUGAAAAUUGCAGCCCAUCUGUUGUGCCUACCAACAACUAUAUAUGAUGAAGAAGUAAAUGCCACAGAAGUGCAUAUAGAUGCCAGCCACAUGAGCUUAUUUAUCACUUUAGUAACCCGUCUCUCUGAUUUUAGCUCUCCCCUCACAAUUGUGAUUUGUACCAACACAACAGCCAAUGAGAAGAAUAAAGCAAAGGCAUUGGCAACAUAGAAGAUCUUAAAUGGGAUUGUGCUUACCACCACGGAUGAUCCAUCAUCACGGUCACCACCAGGAAGUGUGAAAAUAGAUGCGAAUGCAACUGUUGCGAAAAGCACAGCAACC
RNAcentral lists this long non-coding RNA (9251 nucleotides) under Citrus maxima (pomelo). RNAcentral describes it as "long non-coding RNA (CMAX_LNC002725)". The record is from RNAcentral. Lineage: Eukaryota; Viridiplantae; Streptophyta; Magnoliopsida; Sapindales; Rutaceae.